Molecule: unclassified non-coding RNA, 390 nt
Filed under: Hevea brasiliensis (rubber tree)
Lineage: Eukaryota; Viridiplantae; Streptophyta; Magnoliopsida; Malpighiales; Euphorbiaceae
Source: RNAcentral
GUGGAGUCCAACCGCCAAGCCCUUCGUGAGCUUCUCUUUACUUCUCCCAAUGCUCUCUCUUAUCUCUCAGGUGUAAUCCUCUUCGAAGAGACCCUUUACCAAAAGACAUCAGACGGGAAGCCGUUUGUGGAAGUGCUUCAAGAGAACAAUGUCAUUCCAGGCAUCAAAGUGGACAAGGGAACUGUGGAGUUGGCUGGCACCAACGGCGAGACCACAACCCAAGGCUUCGACUCCCUUGGGGCUCGGUGCCAACAAUUCUACAAGGCCGGUGCUCGCUUUGCCAAGUGGCGUGCUGUUCUCAAGAUUGGCGCGUCUGAGCCCUCUGAGUUGUCUAUCCAACAGAACGCUCAGGGCUUGGCUCGCUAUGCCAUUAUCUGUCAGGAGAAUGGG